UACGUAGGGUGCAAGCGUUGUCCGGAAUUAUUGGGCGUAAAGAGCUCGUAGGCGGUUCGUCGCGUCGGCUGUGAAAUCCCGAGGCUCAACCUCGGGUCUGCAGUCGAUACGGGCGGACUGGAGUUCGGCAGGGGAGACUGGAAUUCCUGGUGUAGCGGUGAAAUGCGCAGAUAUCUGGAGGAACACCGGUGGCGAAGGCGACAUCCUGGACCAACACUGACGCUGAGGAGCGAAAGCCAGGGGAGCAAACGGG
This 253-nucleotide ribosomal RNA is filed under the name uncultured bacterium. Its description in RNAcentral is "partial 16S ribosomal RNA". It matches the Rfam family "Bacterial small subunit ribosomal RNA", at positions 524 to 776 of the family's 1533-position model. The record is from RNAcentral.